RNAcentral lists this ribosomal RNA (254 nucleotides) under uncultured bacterium. Its description in RNAcentral is "partial 16S ribosomal RNA". It matches the Rfam family "Bacterial small subunit ribosomal RNA", at positions 793 to 1055 of the family's 1533-position model. The record is from RNAcentral.
GUCCACGCCGUAAACGAUGGAUACUAGCUGUUGGAAGCAAUUUCAGUGGCUAAGCGAAAGUGAUAAGUAUCCUACCUGGGGAGUACGUUCGCAAGAAUGAAACUCAAAGGAAUUGACGGGGCCCGCACAAGCGGUGGAGCAUGUGGUUUAAUUCGAUGAUACGCGAGGAACCUUACCAAGGCUUAAAUGUAGAUUGACCGGUUUGGAAACAGACUUUUAGCAAGACAAUUUACAAGGUGCUGCAUGGUUGUCGU